GCUGCCAACUCCGCUGAAUGUCUGGCAUUGGCUCUUUGUUCCCCCCACCCUGACAAACGGCAAUCCUGCUCAGCCGUUACACGGAACCCAAAUGCAAUCGAACGAGAGAUAACAAAGGUAAUGAGAGGGGCAUGCGCUGGUGAAUGAACAACUACCCAAGGUGCCUCCAUCGGUGGUUGAAGAACUGUCCCUUGGCCGGCCCCACCAACGACCCUACUCUAAGACGGCAUAUAUUUCAUCAUCGUCAUCAUCAAAGGCAUCGUUAAGCCCUUGGCAUCAUUAUAGACGUUCAGGAACAUGUGGAUACUUCGUCUCUAAGUUUUUUGAUAAGAAGCUGGAGGGGAGCCAGCUCACAGGAGCUCUAAGGAGGGAUCAACACUAGGUUGGUUUUAUUAGUCCUGAAGACCAAAGAGGCAUGAUGAUGGCUUGAUGAUAAAGAUAAAAGGCCUCUGAGGCAUGAUGCUGUUGAACAUCAGAAACCUGUUUUAACUCUUGAGGUCACAAGAGGAAGAACAAGGGAUUUCCCAGAGAAACACAAGGGUUCAUGCUCAGCAAGUUAAGUUUAAGGUUUCAAAUUCAUACGAUAAUAAAUCUAAUCGUCACCA
Long non-coding RNA from Ornithorhynchus anatinus (platypus), 605 nucleotides. RefSeq lists it as uncharacterized. NCBI's taxonomy places the organism in Eukaryota, Metazoa, Chordata, Mammalia, Monotremata, Ornithorhynchidae. The transcript has 3 exons. The record is from RefSeq and is a predicted model, not a curated record.